AACAUACUCCCUCCGUUCGAAAAAAAACUUGUCCUGAGCUUGUCUCUCAAAUGGAUGUAUCUAGCACUAACUUGAUGCUAGAUAUAUCCAUUUGAGGGACAAGCUUUUUUCGGACAGAGGGGGUAUUUG
Non-coding RNA from Triticum urartu, 129 nucleotides. The record is from Rfam. NCBI's taxonomy places the organism in Eukaryota, Viridiplantae, Streptophyta, Magnoliopsida, Poales, Poaceae.